AAAAAAUUUAAAAAAUUAUAAAAAGUUACAAAGACGGGCCAUAUCAGAAGUGAGAUGUUGAUCCCCAGAAAUUAAAAAGAUUUAUAAUUUAUGUGAUAUCUCGUACUCAUACGUCCCGUCGUACCCAUACGUUCCUUCGUACCCACACGUUCCCUCGUACCGGAAACAAUCAAAACAAUGUUCCACGUAUCCGAAUUCAUACCUCGUUUCGUAUCGAACCGCGUCCUAUGUAACUAUG
This 238-nucleotide long non-coding RNA is filed under the name Daucus carota (carrot). Its description in RNAcentral is "long non-coding RNA (DCAR_LNC007197)". Lineage: Eukaryota; Viridiplantae; Streptophyta; Magnoliopsida; Apiales; Apiaceae. The record is from RNAcentral.